GGAAUUGUGCCCGAAGACCCAAGGACCACUUUGAUAGAGUGGCUUAUGGGGGUUAAAAUCCCCCCAAUUCCU
This 72-nucleotide transfer RNA is filed under the name Traccatichthys taeniatus. Its description in RNAcentral is "tRNA-Ile". It matches the Rfam family "tRNA". Rfam says of the family: Transfer RNA (tRNA) molecules are approximately 80 nucleotides in length. Their secondary structure includes four short double-helical elements and three loops (D, anti-codon, and T loops). Further hydrogen bonds mediate the characteristic L-shaped molecular structure. tRNAs have two regions of fundamental functional importance: the anti-codon, which is responsible for specific mRNA codon recognition, and the 3' end, to which the tRNAs corresponding amino acid is attached (by aminoacyl-tRNA synthetases). tRNAs cope with the degeneracy of the genetic code in two manners: having more than one tRNA (with a specific anti-codon) for a particular amino acid; and 'wobble' base-pairing, i.e. permitting non-standard base-pairing at the 3rd anti-codon position. RNAcentral also lists the same sequence under 2 other names. Lineage: Eukaryota; Metazoa; Chordata; Actinopteri; Cypriniformes; Nemacheilidae. The record is from RNAcentral.